AGUGAACGCUGGCGGUAGGCCUAACACAUGCAAGUCGAACGGCAGCACAGUAAGAGCUUGCUCUUACGGGUGGCGAGUGGCGGACGGGUGAGGAAUACAUCGGAAUCUUCUUUUUCGUGGGGGUUAACGUAGGGAAACUUACGCUAAUACCGCAUACGACCUACGGGUGAAAGCAGGGGAUCUUCGGACCUUGCGCGAUUGAAUGAGCCGAUGUCGGAUUAGCUAGUUGGCGGGGUAAAGGCCCACCAAGGCGACGAUCCGUAGCUGGUCUGAGAGGAUGAUCAGCCACACUGGAAGUGAGACACGGACCAGACUCCUACGGGAGGCAGCAGUGGGGAAUAUUGGACAAUGGGCGCAAGCCUGAUCCGGCCAUACCGCGUGGGUGAAGAAGGCCUUCGGGUUGUAAAGCCCUUUUGUUGGGAAAGAAAAGCAGCAGGUUAAGACCCCGCUGUUCUGACGGUACCCAAAGAAUAAGCACCGGCUAACUUCGUG
Molecule: ribosomal RNA, 492 nt
Filed under: uncultured bacterium
Lineage: Bacteria
Description: partial 16S ribosomal RNA
Rfam family: Bacterial small subunit ribosomal RNA
Source: RNAcentral